GAUGAAGAACGUAGCGAAAUGCGAUAAGUAAUGUGAAUUGCAGAAUUCAGUGAAUCAUCGAAUCUUUGAACGCACAUUGCGCCCGUUAGCAUUCUAGCGGGCAUGCCUGUCCGAGCGUCAUUUCAACCCUCAGGGUCCCCGUUCCGGCGGGGAACCUGGUGUUGGGGAUCGCCCCGCCCCGUGCGGCGCCGUCCCCCAAAUUCAGUGGCGGUCUCGCUGCAGCCUCCCCUGCGUAGUAGUUACAACCUCGCAUCGGAGCUCAGCGCGGCCACGCCGUAAAACCCCCGACUUUCUGAACGUUGACCUCGGAUCAGGUAGGAAUACCCGCUGAACUUAAGCAUAUCAAUAAGCGGAGGA
Molecule: unclassified non-coding RNA, 357 nt
Filed under: soil metagenome
Description: partial contains 5.8S ribosomal RNA, internal transcribed spacer 2, and large subunit ribosomal RNA
Rfam family: 5.8S ribosomal RNA (bases 1-120)
Source: RNAcentral